UUUUUUUUUUUUUCAAUUUAGCCCUUGUGCCAACUCUCACGUGUCAUGAGACCUAUUGACUUGGAAUCGUUUUUUUAAAACCAUAUUUUAACUUCUCUGAUCCCAAAGUGGAUUCAAGCAGGCAUGGUUGAGAUUGGUGGUUUAUGUACAAUUGUUAUAUAUAUAUUUCUAAAAUCCAUAUAAACGCUAUGGUUGAAAGUUAGGAUGUCCUCUUAUCGUUAAAAAAUGUUCAUAGCACCUCUCAUAAUUCAAACUAAUAUGGAAUUUAAUUAACAACAAGCUUUUCAAAAAUGUUUGUAAUAUCCCCUUAUGAUUCAAUCUAAUUUGGAAUUUAAUCGAUAACAGGCUUGUUACUUAGGAAAGUGAUACCAUUUUUGGGAUGAAAAAACGCAUUUUGUCCAUAUUACACCAUUUUUUUGGUCUCAAAUUCCUUUUUUAAUUCUUUCUUUUGCUUUAUAAUUUUUUUUUCCUUUGUUUCCUUCUUUUCUUCUUCUCCCUAAACCGCUGAAACCCAUCCCACCAGUACCACCACACCACCAACACUGACCACUAUAACCCCCACGUCCACCAACAAAGGAUUCUGAUCAUCAUUGAAUUCUUGCAUUAGUGUGACCCCUUUCAUGUUGGGAUGGUGGUUCUAAAGUAAGCUAACAUAGAAAAGAAUGUUUUGAGUGAAGGUGAGAAUUAACAGGCAAGAGCGGCAAUACGUUGAACAUUAAUUUCAUGGGGAGCCAUGGUCUAAUCCCUAAGUUGCGUCUUCAAAAGGUGGAGAGACUUUGAAUGGUGUUCCUGUCCUGAUCGGCCAGAUUGCUCAAUAUUACUGAAAACUUGUAAUUUGCCACUAAUCUAGAAUAAUGUAAAGGCACUGAAAUGUUAAAACUUGUAAUUUUUCAUUAGUAAUAUCAACAAUGGUUAUGGUUUUUGCCUUUACGUUCCUUUUCUCUUCAAUUUCUUGUUUACCGUUUUAUAUAAGGAGGAGGAUGAACAAAGACCUCUCGCCAUCAAAGUAAUCAAACACUAGAACCAAGUAAAAGCAUUAACAAAGAGGUCUCAACAUUUGCACUCAUAUGUAUGGGAAAAUCAUCAUUUUUGGUGUGGGGGUCUAAAGUAAGCUAACACAGCAAAGACUGUCUGGAUUAAGGUGAGGAUGAAAAGCAAGAUAGCCAAUAGUUUGAACCUUUCCCAGGGAGCAAUGUUAUAGUCUCUCAGUUGGAUCCUCAAAAGGUGGAGGUUUGGAGUGGUGUGCUUGUCCUGGCCGGCCAGAUUGCUCAAGAUUGUAGGCAACUUCUCUUUAUGGUAGGGGUU
RNAcentral lists this long non-coding RNA (1305 nucleotides) under Coffea arabica (coffee). RNAcentral describes it as "long non-coding RNA (CARA_LNC002117)". Lineage: Eukaryota; Viridiplantae; Streptophyta; Magnoliopsida; Gentianales; Rubiaceae. The record is from RNAcentral.